UGGGGAAUAUUGGACAAUGGGCGCAAGCCUGAUCCAGCCAUGCCGCGUGGGUGAAGAAGGCCUUCGGGUUGUAAAGCCCUUUUGUUGGGAAAGAAAUCCUGUCGGUUAAUACCUGGCGGGGAUGACGGUACCCAAAGAAUAAGCACCGGCUAACUUCGUGCCAGCAGCCGCGGUAAUACGAAGGGUGCAAGCGUUACUCGGAAUUACUGGGCGUAAAGCGUGCGUAGGCGGUUCGUUAAGUCUGUCGUGAAAGCCCUGGGCUCAACCUGGGAAUUGCGAUGGAUACUGGCGAGCUAGAGUACGGUAGAGGAUGGUGGAAUUCCCGGUGUAGCGGUGAAAUGCGUAGAGAUCGGGAGGAACACCCGUGGCGAAGGCGGCCAUCUGGACCAGUACUGACGCUGAGGCACGAAAGCGUGGGGAGCAAACA
This 427-nucleotide ribosomal RNA is filed under the name uncultured bacterium. RNAcentral describes it as "bacterial SSU rRNA". It matches the Rfam family "Bacterial small subunit ribosomal RNA", at positions 355 to 774 of the family's 1533-position model. The record is from RNAcentral.